CCCAAUGCGCUCACGAGUACCUACGUCUCUUUCUGCGCAGUAACUCCCAUACUUUCAAUUUCCUUCAUUGUAGUCGUUUUUUUCAGUUUUAAGAGUUUUUGGCUUAUUCCAGGUUUAUCCAUUAUCUUUAUACUUCUUUUGGUCGUUACCAAUUUAACGAGUUUUGCAAAAUUGCAACAGAGUUAAUACAACAAUGCUGAGGUUUCAAUUACACGAAAUGAAAAUGGAAAGUUGGGGAUGGGAGCCUGGAAAUUGGACUAACUUCCUGGAAAUAUUUACUAGAAUCUAGAGAAUUUUAUGGGUAGAAUUAUCGUAAUAAAUUUUUAACUCUCAAUUAUAUCAGAAAUUUAGAUAAAUAAGAGCGGUUCAGCUGUUUUAUAUGAAAAUACAAAAAAGAUCUCCGGUGUUGAGGGAGUGACAUAAGUAGAUGGUGAUCGGUUUGCUCGUAGCAUCGAAUUACCGUUAUUAUCAUCGUCGCCAACACUGGAAUCAAAACAAACCACACCAUUUGCCACUGGUGUUUCAAUGGAUAAAUCGUAACGCCCACGGAUCAUGCACAAUUUUUUCUUCAUUCAGCUGCCAACACCUCACGCCUAAUUUUCUCUGUUGAAUCUCUCAAUAAUUCUUCUGGAAACCAUUGAACCAAAAAGUGUGAUGCAAUUACUUUUACGAUCGAGCUUGAAAAUUCAGCUCACGGCAAAAAUGAAAAGUCGUCUGAAGGGCCUCUUCUUCGGCUUCAUCGUAAAACUUUUCCUACCGAGUGUUAUGAUGGAGUUUUUCCCGUCACCAUGUCCUUCAGAUUGAUCCAGGUUAACACGAAGGACUGAACCUUGAGGCAAUCUCCAGAGAUUGAAACAGCUUCUCUCAAACUGUCUAGCAACAAAAUAAAGUAAAUGUCUAGAGAAAAAAUGGUGAAUUACAUGUUAUGAAGGGUAAAUACAGCAACUUCUUUAGAGGUUACUGUUUCCUCUAAUGACGGACAAAGAUAGAUGAACCAUGGAAAUUAGUCAUGACGAUCUUGUUGAGGUGUCAAGAAACCUCUAGUUAUUGUCCGUUCAUUAUCCAACAUAUUAUGGUCUACUUGGAACACAUUGUUAAUUAAAAUAGAACAAUCUUAUGUUGACAAUGAAGAAACAAGGGACAUCUUCUCAUCAAAACCUUCAAAUUUCAGAGGAAAAAAUUAACAGAACUUUGAAUUUUUAUUCUAUUUCUCCGUGAGCAUUACUAGAAAGCCAGAACAUUAGAUGCAUAUUCCCAUUAAAUUGGAAACUCUGGAAAUCGUACAUUGAGAAAUUAUUGGAUGUUGGAUAAAUUGCACUUAAUAUUGAUUCAAGUCAUCGAAAUUACAAAUAUGUUUUAUUGCCUGAUUGCCUCAGUUAAUUAUUUUUUAAUUCUAGAAAAUGUAUGAGGUACCCUCUGCGCCCGCUGACCUUUCAUUCUCAUCAAAUUACUUAUUAUUAAUUAUUUUUUACCUCCAUUGUAAUUCUGGAGAUAUAAACAAUGAAACCAUUCUAUAUUAUUGUUUUUUCUUACAAUUGUAUCUUGUGUAACUAACAUGUCAUUAUCCGUUUUAAUGCUCAAUUCCGAGACGGAAGCUUUUAUACCAUGAGAUUCAUUUCUUUCAAUUCUUUUAAGAUACUUGCAACCAUUUUUACCUCCAAAAAAUUUGAAUGAGAAUGAGAAAUAAUAUGUUUUUCUUUUACUUAUUAAUUUUAAAUACUUAUUAUUGAUAACUCUGUUUAUAGAACUGAGUAGAAACCCAAUCGCAAUUCUCCUAAUAAUAUGGACUCCCAUUAAAAAUAUAUAUCAUGCUUUUAUCUGAAAAAUGGUGUCAAACUCAUGCUACUGUAAUGGGGUGAGCUGUCGCAAUGAUGGCAAUCUUCAAUUUGGUCCGGUUCUUAAAUAAGAAAAUGCUCUCUAAAUUACAAACUAUUCCUUCUCCAAUGUGAAUCCA
Molecule: long non-coding RNA, 1954 nt
Organism: Fopius arisanus
Lineage: Eukaryota; Metazoa; Arthropoda; Insecta; Hymenoptera; Braconidae
Exons: 4
Source: RefSeq, a predicted model, not a curated record